CAGGGAUACUCCAGGAAUGUUCCAGGGAUAUUCCACGGCUAUUCCAGGGAUAUUCCUGAGAUAUUCCAGGGCUAUUCCAGGAAUGUUCCAGGAAUAUUCCAUUGAUAUUCCAGAAAUAUUCCAGGGCUAUUCCAGGGCUACUCCAGAGAUAUUCCAGGGCUAUUCCAGGCCUAUUCCAGGUUUCCAGUGCAGAGGAGGCAGCACUGGAGCAAAUCCUUCCCAUUCCCUGAGCCAGGUGGGAGCAGAGGGAAGAAAAAUCCCCAUUUGAAGGUUUGAAAAAUCCCGGUGUUUUAUUUCCAGUCAAUCUGAAAUGAAUGCACCAAGGCUCCCCCGGGUUCUGGGACAGGCAGGGAAAGGGAAAGAAGGGUGGGAAGGGAAGGGGAGAUGCCCAAAAUGUGGCCAGGACUGAUCCAGCAGAGCUUUGCUUCCCACCUGGAAUACUUUUGGGUUCUCUGCUCACCUGGGCAAAGCUUUGGAUAAACAGUUCUGGGACAGUGAGGAAUCCAGUUAAAAAAAUAAAUUUAAAAAAAAGAGUGGCUUCUAUGGGAAGUGACUUCCUAAAUGCACAAAAAGCAAAACAAAGCAAAAAAAAAAAAAAAAGGGGGGGGGGGGGGGGGGGGGGGGACAAAAAGCAAAACAAAGCAAAAAAAAAACCAAACCCACAAAAACCCCAAAUAGCUGAGCAGGCUGGGAGUCGUUGUUAUUUGUUAUUUAUAGAAUUUGGGUGGGAAGGGAGGGAGGAAUUUUGGGGCCAGGCAGGCCAGGAGCAGCGUCCAUCCAGUCCAUCCCUGCUGGAGUUUGACCUUGGUGACAAAACCCAGGUACCAAAUCCCUGCAGGAAUUGCUCCUACAAGGGGUUUACAGGGAAGAGAAAACAGAAAUUCCCUGCAAGAAGCACCUCUGGCAUUGCAGCAGUUUGGGAGGAAUUAUUCCUUAAGCAGCAAGAAUGGGUUUAAUGUAAAUAUAUUUUUAUUUUGUGGGUAUCGAGGCACCAUUUCAGUGUGGGAAGAAGGGAUUUUUAAAUCUGGACUGGAAAACAGGGACAACGAAACUUCUCAGGACACAAAGCUGGUUCUUUUCCUCAUCUCCCAGCACCAGGACUCAUCCCAAAACCAACAUAAAAAAUCCCAAAAAUGCUGUGGGGAUGGGGAAUGGGGACAACAACAGGGAAAAGGCCCAGGCUGGGGCAGAAAAACUCCCCAAAAGAUGGAAAAUCUGGGAAAUCAGGGGAGGAAGGACACAGGGGGAAAUCCUGGGUGUCCUUAAGGAAAAGCAAUUAUCCCUGGAGGCUGGGAUAUCAGAUCCAAGGAGAUUCUGGGAAUUACAGAGCUGGCAGAAAUUAUGGAGGGAGUAAUUAAAGCCCAAGCCAGGCUGGUAAUUGGGUAACCUUGGGGGUUAAACCAGCACAGGUCCUGCCAGGGAAAAUUUGUGUCUUCCCCACCUAAAUCCUUAAAAAAAAAAGUUAAUUGAGGAGCAGAUCACUGGGAGCUGCUGGGCACUGUGAUUAACCAGGAGAAUAAUUUGCAUUUCUCCAGCCCCUUUCAUGCCAGCACAGAUUGAAACCACCUUCCCUGAGCUCCAGGGAUUUCCUAAAAAAAAUAAAAUUAAAAAAAAAAAAAUCUGCCUCAGUUCAGGGGAAACUGAGGCAGAAAAAAGGGAUUUUCCCAAAGAAAUCUGUGGAAACACAAAAUUCUCAGAGCUGCUGCUCACACUCUCUGCAGGUUGGGGCUUCUCCCUCAAGCACAAAUCCCAAAAAUCUGGGAUGUGGGAAGGGAUUUUGGGGCCGUGCUGGGGGUGCUGGUGCCCAUCCCACAGGAGGGGGAACUCCAGGCAUGGAAAAUUCCGGGAGAACUCCAGCAAAUCCCCUGGGAGGGUUUGGGUUUCUGCAGACCCAGGCAGGCGCUUUCCAAGGAAAUUCAAUCAGGGGCAACACAGCCCCAAGGCCUGGCUGGGUUUUGUUCAAACCCAGAAACUUUGAAAAAAGCCAGAAUUCAGCUUUUUUUAAUUUUUUUUUUUUUAUUUUUUUUUAAUUUUUGGGCUUGGCCACCAUUUAUAACAAAGUUAUUUUCAUUUGAGAGGAGGGAAUCGCAGCCAGUGGGUGUACGAGGGUUAUGUAUUCCAGCGCGAGGUCCCAAGCUGUGAGCAGCUUGUGACAUUUGGGGAUCCUCGCUGUGUGCUGGCUCUUCAGGGACGGUGAUAAUGCACUUUCCAACUAGAGGGAGCUGCUGGUACCACCCCUGAUGCCGAUUCCGAACCUCCCAGCCUAAUUCCUUUGUGCGGAACGCGCGGCGGGCGCGCCGAGGUUUUAACAAAACCGAGUUAAAUUACCCCGAGUCGUUCAGAUUAAAAGGUGCCGCUCAGUCCUGGCAGCACAAUCAUCAAAUUAACCUGUGGAGUUCGGGGAAAAGUGAAGCAGGUCCCGGGUUGCUUUCUGUGGAAUGAUCCGGGUCAUGAAAAGGGUGGGUAGGAGGGAGUGAGAAGCCGGGGCUGCUCCAGACAAAAAGCGUGCGGGAGGAAGGAGCGAACAAAGGAACAAAGGGACCUGUGGCCAGGCACCGAGGUGGCCCGGCCCAGCCUCGGGUCCCCAGGCCACUCGUUACAGGGGCUCCUGCAGCAGGUGAGGGCUCCUGCCAGCGGGAUUCAGGAAAAGCCUUUCCCAGGGGAUGGUUGGAGGGCUCCUGGGGGGCUGAUGGCCCUGCUGGGGUCUGGGGGAUGCUCCGUGUCCUCACCAGGGCCAAAGCAAAGGCAGGUUCCAUCCGGCAGGGCAGGUCCAUGUGUGGGCAUUUCCGUGGGUACCCUCCCAGUAAAGAAUUCUGAGUGAGAAUUCCCAGCCCCCAGGGGAUAUUUUGGGUCUGAGCGUUUCGUGUUUGGAGCUGAGCACAAAACAGAUUUUUCCUCCUCCUCCUCUUACACCUCGAGGCAAAAUCCUUGGGAACAGGCAGAAAGAAUUAAGGAAAAAUGUGUGUCCCAAACUCUGAGCUGCCAAACUGGGACACAGGCAAGGACUGAGGACUGGAGGGGUGUUGGAACCUUCAAAAUUGGGAGUUUUGAACUUUCUGUGCUGUGUGUCAAAAUUUAGAAUGUAAGGUUUUAAAAUAAAGAAACAGAUGUGAAGCAAAAUAAAAAUUUUAAAGCAAA
Long non-coding RNA from Ficedula albicollis (Collared flycatcher), 3138 nucleotides. Lineage: Eukaryota; Metazoa; Chordata; Aves; Passeriformes; Muscicapidae. The record is from Ensembl.